UGGAAGCUUAUUUCCGGGACCUUUCACCAAGUUCAACUCGUAACAUAGGCUUGGAAUUAUUAGAAUCAACACAAAGCAUGUAUAACUCCACGUGUCUAUAAUUCCUUAUGAAUAUUGGAUAGAUUUUUCCCCUCCCGUUCAUCAAGUAACUAAUGACCAUAUCGCUUAGAUCACAACUUAAUUCACCGCUCUCCAUUACGCUUUUAACUAAAUCGGCGUAUGAACCAUUACAACGAAGGGCAAUGGACACUCUCUCCUUAGAC
Molecule: long non-coding RNA, 263 nt
Filed under: Capsicum annuum
Lineage: Eukaryota; Viridiplantae; Streptophyta; Magnoliopsida; Solanales; Solanaceae
Description: long non-coding RNA (CANN_LNC017017)
Source: RNAcentral